AGGGCAACCACCACGGUUAAGCCACCAUUAACGGUGACCUUGAUUAAUCAAAUAACUGUGACGGGCACAGGCAACCACCACGGUUAAGCCACCAUUAACGGUGACCUUUCAACCACGGCGGUUGCCUUUGCCCGCCUCGAAAAAGAUAUCUGUAGUAGUGUUUCUAUUAUGUUGACAUCGGGAAUGUAGGAUUUUUUGCUUUCUUAC
Molecule: long non-coding RNA, 207 nt
Filed under: Sorghum bicolor (sorghum)
Lineage: Eukaryota; Viridiplantae; Streptophyta; Magnoliopsida; Poales; Poaceae
Description: long non-coding RNA (SBIC_LNC002164)
Source: RNAcentral